UUCGACGAUACGCGAAGAACCUUACCAGGUCUGACAUCCCUGACAACCCGAGAGAUCGGGCGUUCCCCUUCGGGGGACAGGGUGACAGGUGGUGCAUGGUUGUCGUCAGCUCGUGUCGUGAGAUGUUGGGUUAAGUCCCGCAACGAGCGCAACCCUCGACCUUAGUUGCCAGCAUUCAGUUGGGCACUCUAAGGUGACUGCCGGCUAAAAGUCGGAGGAAGGUGGGGAUGACGUCAAAUCAUCAUGCCCCUUAUGACCUGGGCUACACACGUGCUACAAUGGGCGGUACAAAGGGUCGCGAACCCGCGAGGGGGAGCCAAUCCCAAAAAGCCGCUCUCAGUUCGGAUUGCAGGCUGCAACUCGCCUGCAUGAAGCCGGAAUCGCUAGUAAUCGCGGAUCAGCAUGCCGCGGUGAAUACGUUCCCGGGCCUU
This 431-nucleotide ribosomal RNA is filed under the name uncultured Anoxybacillus sp. Its description in RNAcentral is "bacterial SSU rRNA". It matches the Rfam family "Bacterial small subunit ribosomal RNA", at positions 950 to 1382 of the family's 1533-position model. The record is from RNAcentral. Lineage: Bacteria; Bacillati; Bacillota; Bacilli; Caryophanales; Anoxybacillaceae.